This is a long non-coding RNA of Brassica oleracea var. oleracea, 745 nucleotides long. RefSeq lists it as uncharacterized. The record is from RefSeq and is a predicted model, not a curated record. The transcript is spliced from 4 exons. Lineage: Eukaryota; Viridiplantae; Streptophyta; Magnoliopsida; Brassicales; Brassicaceae.
CAAUAGGAAAACCGCAGCGUUUCAUUAAAAUUUAACAUCUUGGCCUCAUCAACCCUACGGCUGCAACGAAGAACGUGGAAACGGCUGUGUUCAUAAGCAGAGGAGGAGAAGAGGCUUCGAUGGACGACGAAUCAGAUCUACUCCAUAUGUAGAUGGCUCAUCUGCCGCUGCGUCUCUGGCUUCACCGAUACGUAUCCAGCUUCGCCGUUGCGUCUCCGAAUUAUCCUCUCAGAUGAAUCUCCAAGGCGUCAUGAAAAGUUAACCGAAGGCGUCAAUCUUAAAUCCGUUUCCUUCAUGUCUCAGUUCCAUAGCUCACGACCUGAUUGUAAUUUAUACGCUUCUUGGGUUUCUGCAAACGAAGAAGUAUUGUGUACUGCUUUAUAUCAAGGAGAAAAUUUUGAAGAAGCUAUCUAAGCAGCAGCUUUAAGGUUUGCGUGUGUGGACCGUGGUCAGACAGAGAAUAGCUGUUGUAGUCAGACAGAGAAUAUCUGUUGUGUGAAGUGUCCAAAUCAAGGUUUAUUCUUUACUAUUCCUCAAAUUCAAAUUUGGCAAAUUUAGUUUUCGACCUCUUUAGAUGGCUUUGACAAUCAAAUCUUCGGUAUCUUUACUGUUCUUUCUGAAUAAUUUGUCUUUUGAGUCAGAAAAUGAAUUAAGAUAUAUUCUCUUUUGGUUUAUGUUCGUAUAGAUAACAAAUCGAACUCCAGCAUAAAAAUUACAAUAUUAGAAUGUCAUGUCUUCCUUAUUA